This 263-nucleotide ribosomal RNA is filed under the name uncultured Erysipelothrix sp. Its description in RNAcentral is "partial 16S ribosomal RNA". It matches the Rfam family "Bacterial small subunit ribosomal RNA", at positions 1118 to 1382 of the family's 1533-position model. Lineage: Bacteria; Bacillati; Bacillota; Erysipelotrichia; Erysipelotrichales; Erysipelotrichaceae. The record is from RNAcentral.
CCAUCAUUCAGUUGGGGACUCUAGAGAGACUGCCGGUGAUAAACCGGAGGAAGGUGGGGAUGACGUCAAAUCAUCAUGCCCCUUAUGGCCUGGGCUACAAACGUAAUACAAUGGCGUAUACAAAGGGAUGCGAAAGGGCGACCUGGAGCAAAACUCACAAAGUACGUCUCAGUUCAGAUUGGAGUCUGCAACUCGACUCCAUGAAGGCGGAAUCGCUAGUAAUCGCGGAUCAGCAUGCCGCGGUGAAUACGUUCUCGGGGUUU